This 292-nucleotide ribosomal RNA is filed under the name uncultured bacterium. RNAcentral describes it as "partial 16S ribosomal RNA". It matches the Rfam family "Bacterial small subunit ribosomal RNA", at positions 505 to 796 of the family's 1533-position model. The record is from RNAcentral.
GUGUCAGCAGCCGCGGUAAGACAGAGGCCUCGAGCGUUAGGCGGAAUCACUGGGCUUAAAGCGCGUGUAGGCGGAUCGUUAAGUGCCUUGUGAAAUCCUGCGGCUCAACCGCAGAACCGCUGGGCAUACUGGCGGUCUUGGGCCACUCAGGGGUCACUGGAACAAGCGGUGGAGCGGUGAAAUGCGUAGAUAUCGCUUGGAACGCCAAAGGUGAAGACAGGUGACUGGGGGUGUGCCGACGCUGAGACGCGAAAGCCAGGGGAGCAAACGGGAUUAGAAACCCCUGUAGUCC